Arachis ipaensis is the source of this 1790-nucleotide long non-coding RNA. RefSeq lists it as uncharacterized. Lineage: Eukaryota; Viridiplantae; Streptophyta; Magnoliopsida; Fabales; Fabaceae. The record is from RefSeq and is a predicted model, not a curated record.
ACGGUUGGUGCGUCUGCACAGCCCCUGAGGUGCGAACCCUGUGACUCCUCAGUACCCCUCUUCUCCUUCCCCAACGUUCAUCCCUAUCCCCUUCUUCCCUGCCUCAGACCAUCAUCACGCUACCACCCUGCGCCGCCAGCAACCCUAAUCGCCGGCGCCACCAACCAACACCACCACCCCACCUCUCGGCCAACCAGCCCCACGCCGCCGUCCAGCCUCCUUUCUCUACCCUCAGCCAUACCAACCUCUUCUCUUUUCUCCGUCGAAACCCAGUUUUCUUCGCGCCAGCCCCUGCUUCACCCCGAACCAGCCUCCAGUCACCGCGUCUAGCCUCCUCCCUUCACCCACAACUGCCGGCGAGUUCUUUCCCCCGUGGUCUGAACCCUAGCCUAUCUUCUUCUUCUCAUUACAUCUUCUCGGAGCCAACCAACGUCCACCAUCAGCUUUAUCAUCGAGUCUCAUCAUCACCACUGAACCGCCGUUUCCUCUUCCCCUGACCACUGAUCCAUAGCCCCGCCAUCUUCCCCCUGACCCUCUCGUUCUUUAUGGGUUGAAGAACAGAGCAAGUACAAGCUCUUGUUCUCUUCGUCUCAAGCGAAUUCCAGCUGCUGCGACGUAUCCCCUGUUUCUCGGCCCUGUGCCGCUUUCCCUCUCUGACGAAGACCUUGGCCAGCCAUGCUGCCACUGCGCCACUGCGCCACUAGACCGGCUGUGUUUGUUCUGGCCAUUAGCUCACCAUCAUCAACCUUCUUCUUCCCCUUUCCCUUCCUGCUCCAAUUUUCUGCUUCCCAGUGCCACCAUCACUCUCGCAGCCACUUUUGUAUGGUGACACAGUGACGACUCCUUCCACUCCGCAUGAUCGUGAGCACCGAGGACGGUGCUACAUUUUAAGUUUGGGGAGGUUGUGCAUCUUCAGCAAGCGCAUUUUGGGUGACAAGCUUCAUUUCCGAACACUUUUAGUGUACUUUCUUUUUAUGUUUUUUUUGGUACUUUGUAUAUAUUUUAUCCUUUUGAGAAACUUUUUACUUAGUUUAUUGCACUUUCUUAGUUUAUUGUACUUUUAAAUUUUGCUUGUACAUAACUUAGUAUUAUAUAGUAGUUAUGCAUAUUUUGACAUUUUGCUUUUAAUUUUAGCUUUUACAUAUGCUUUUUGGUUUUUAGGCUUGAUUGUGAUUUUGGAUGAUGUAAUGAUUGCAUCUCAGUUUGAAUUCCUAUAUACUUGCUAUUUUGGUUUGAUUGAAAUUAGGAAUUAAACUUAGGAUUUUUGACCUUUUUCAUCCAAUCACAUUAUAUACAUAUAUGGAAUAAAUGUUAGUCAAUUUAAUGAAAUUUCCAAGAAACCUACUUUUUAUAGGGUAUUGAAAUUCAAAUUGAAUUGAGUUGAAAUUUUUUUGAAACUUGUAUGAUUCAUACAUUGUGGAAUAUGGUUUUUGAGUUAAAGAACACAUAACUUGUGAGAUUUUAAGCCUUAUUGUGUGGUUGCAUUAUUCAACCACUUUAUUCUUGUGUGUUGCUCUUCUCUAUGAUUACAAUCUUUGGUUUGUUUAAUUCUAUAUAUCCAUUGUUUAAUGUAUAUUUAUGCAAGUAUGUGAUUGAGACCAUUAUUCCUUUAUAACUCACUUAACCCAAAAAGCCUACCAUUUCAUUUACGUUUGCUUACCACUUUGAGCCUUUUAAUUCCCUUUUGUUCUUGAUUGAGCACACCACUAGCUAUAAGCGGAAAAAUAAUGAAUGUUCCUAUUUUGAAUCUUUGAAUAGCUUAAGUUAGUGAGAGUGUUAACUAAGUGGGA